UUUUCCUUGCUUCGGUUUCUACAGUUCCGUCCCUAUUUUUUUUCUUUUCUUCUUUUUUUUUGUUCGGUUUUGAGCUCUCCUUCUCCACCUCCCCUUUUUCGGUUUUGAGCUCUCCUUCUCCAAGGACUUCAUCCUCUUCUUCUUCAAGCCUUCUAAACUCUUCAAAGCUUCAUCUUUCCCUCAUCCUCUCCAAAGCUUCAAGCAAAGAAAGUUGGGUUUGGAGGAUCUUCAUCAACAACAAAGUCUCCUCUUCAAGGAUUCUCCAAGCUUUGGUUUCUGAUGCCUCCACGCCGAUCUCGACUUCCUAGGAGUCGAUCCCAUUCGCAGCCUAGCGAGGAAGAAAUUCCCGCAGCAUCCUCCCCUCCAGCAGCUUCCUUUUUUGGGGUCGAGUUCCCCGCGGGCAGCCUUCCUCCUCAUGCUAAUACUGGUUGUAGCCGGGAGGUCUUCUCUUCAGCUUCCAUCAGGCAGGCCGUUAGUCCACUCCCUCAGUUUGACAGAGAUCGCUCCGACGAAUCCUGUCGUUUGAUACGGGAUGGAGGACGCCUCCUUCACUGCAGAUUCUACUUCCACUCAGGCUUUAAAGAAGCCCGGUUUUCUGUUCGGGCUGGUCUACAGGCAGAACUUGAGCAGAGUUAUAUAGAUAGGCUUUCUAGUUUAGAGUCUCAUAUUCUUAGCCGUCAGCUGCCUUCGGGCUAACGAGCUCUUUAUUGUAUGCCUUGACUUGAUCUAUUAAUAGAGACUCUGCAUAUGAUUCCCUUUCUUUAUUCA
Molecule: long non-coding RNA, 768 nt
Organism: Asparagus officinalis (garden asparagus)
Lineage: Eukaryota; Viridiplantae; Streptophyta; Magnoliopsida; Asparagales; Asparagaceae
Exons: 3
Source: RefSeq, a predicted model, not a curated record